UAAAAAUAAUAACAACGUUGCGAAAUAAUUUAAUAAUUAAUCACUAAUCACAUGGAAAUUUUUAUCCUGUUAUGAUUAAUGCAAAUCUGAGUGCCUAAAAAAUACAUUAAAUGGAUAUUUUGUUGUAAUUGUGAUAACAUAUAUACGUUUGUAGUUAUGUCUUUGAAACAAUAACACAGGUGAAAUUUAAAAACGGACUUUUAAAUUGCUCACCUGUUUAUACUGCUCACUUAACAAAACAACCGCGAGUAUAAAAAGCUGGACGUUGCUGUCCAAAAAUUACAAUCCAAAAAUUCACCUAAAUCUCAAUCAGAAUUUAAAUCAUAGAACAUCAAGAUGCGUUUCGUAUUUGCCAUUAUGCUGCUCGUCAUCAUGAUUGUCUACGUGCAAAGCAGUUGUGACAAUGUUAUUAAUGAUGGCAAUCAAGCGGUAGGGGGCUUAGCUGCUGUGAAUGUUGAAGCCUUGUCCCAGCAUUCUAAUAAUAUCAACAGCAAAUAAUUAGAAUUAUUAGUCUUAGUAGCAAGGUGUAAAACUUAAUACUUGAGACCGCAACAUUUCUUCAACAACACAUCUGCAAUGAGACUCUUUAUAUUAUACUAUCACUACAUAACCUAAUUUGGUUAGCGGGAUUAAAUCCCCAUCUUGUAAUAAUCUAUCUGAAAAAAUAAAGUAAUAUUAAAUUUAAUA
Long non-coding RNA from Cotesia glomerata, 687 nucleotides. RefSeq lists it as uncharacterized. The transcript is spliced from 3 exons. NCBI's taxonomy places the organism in Eukaryota, Metazoa, Arthropoda, Insecta, Hymenoptera, Braconidae. The record is from RefSeq and is a predicted model, not a curated record.